UACGGAGGGGGCCAGCGUUGUUCGGAAUCACUGGGCUUAAAGGGCGCGUAGGCGGGCGGCCGCGUCCGGGGUGAAAUCCCACGGCUCAACCGUGGAACGGCCUCGGAUACGGGCGGCCUCGAGGGGGGUAGGGGCAUCUGGAACUGUGAGUGGAGCGGUGAAAUGCGUUGAUAUUCACAGGAACUCCGGUGGCGAAGGCGAGGUGCUGGACCCCAUCUGACGCUGAGGCGCGAAAGCCAGGUGAGCGAACGGG
Molecule: ribosomal RNA, 253 nt
Filed under: uncultured bacterium
Lineage: Bacteria
Description: partial 16S ribosomal RNA
Rfam family: Bacterial small subunit ribosomal RNA
Source: RNAcentral